CAAGUUUCUGCCCUAUCAGCUUUGGAUGGUAGUGUAUUGGACUACCAUGGCAAUCACGGGUAACGGAGAAUUAGGGUUCGAUUCCGGAGAGGGAGCCUGAGAAACGGCUACCACAUCUACGGAAGGCAGCAGGCGCGAAAAUUGCCCAAUCCUGAUUCAGGGAGGCAGUGACAAGAAAUAACAACUCUCAACAUUUGUUGAGAAGUGUAAUGAGGAUAAUUUACAAACCUUACCGAAAGCAAUUGGAGGGCAAGUCUGGUGCCAGCAGCCGCGGUAAUUCCAGCUCCAAAAGCGUAUAUUAAAGUUGUUGCAGUUAAAAAGCUCGUAGUUGAAAUUCUGGUUGUAUUGGGCCUAUGCACUUGUUGUAAAGGUACCAGCAAUCAUUCGCUUGCAAGUACAUUCCUUCCUUAACCGGUUGGCUGUAUAAGUACGCACUUUACCUUGAGAAAAACAGAGUGUUCCAGGCAGGUUUGUCCGGAAUGCGUUAGCAUGGAAUAAUGGAAUAUGACUGAAGUCGA
RNAcentral lists this ribosomal RNA (518 nucleotides) under uncultured eukaryote. Its description in RNAcentral is "SSU rRNA". It matches the Rfam family "Eukaryotic small subunit ribosomal RNA", at positions 300 to 837 of the family's 1831-position model. The record is from RNAcentral.